This is a long non-coding RNA of Lepisosteus oculatus (spotted gar), 319 nucleotides long. RefSeq lists it as uncharacterized. The record is from RefSeq and is a predicted model, not a curated record. Lineage: Eukaryota; Metazoa; Chordata; Actinopteri; Semionotiformes; Lepisosteidae.
CCCAUCCUUCAUGUUCCUUAGCGUUAUCAGGUGUUUUUCAUACUUACAAUCCGUUUCAUCUCCGUGCACUGCCCCAACUGUCAGAGCUUUUAAUCUCAGAGGAUCCCUAAGCACGGCACAUACAAAGGGGGACCCACUUCAACCACCACUGAAGCGCAGCACCUAAUGAUGUGACACAUGACAGCAAUUGUGCACCAGAAGCCCCGCUGCACAAAGGAUAAAGUAGAGGAUUGUUUAUGUAGUACAGGGUCGCGGAGCCUAUCCAGGCAAACAACGGACACAAGGCAGGGUACAUCCUGGAUGGGACAGCAGUCAGUCG